RNAcentral lists this unclassified non-coding RNA (677 nucleotides) under Bradyrhizobium sp. STM 3087. RNAcentral describes it as "partial 16S-23S ribosomal RNA intergenic spacer". The stretch from base 562 to 677 matches the Rfam family "Bacterial large subunit ribosomal RNA", at positions 1 to 115 of the family's 2925-position model. The record is from RNAcentral. Lineage: Bacteria; Pseudomonadati; Pseudomonadota; Alphaproteobacteria; Hyphomicrobiales; Nitrobacteraceae.
AGAGCGCGCGCUUGAUAAGCGUGAGGUCGGAAGUUCAAGUCUUCCCAGGCCCACCACUUUCAGUGAGCAUUCGUCUUCUGGUUACGGGGCCAUAGCUCAGCUGGGAGAGCGCGUGCUUUGCAAGCAUGAGGUCGUCGGUUCGAUCCCGUCUGGCUCCACCAGAUGGUUUGAUCACCGAGAUCUUGUACCGUCGUCCGCGAAACAUCACUUCGCAUCCUGCUAGUCUGGAUAGACAGCAAGAUGCGUGUUUUCUGACAUCGUAAAGAGGAGAUCGAUCCGAGUUGGGUCGUGCAGCAGAUUGUUGCGCGGAUCCUUCAUUAUCUCCGGAUCAUUUUCGGCGCUCGCUCUCAGCCGUGAGGUUGAAUGCGAGUUGUAAAAUGAUCCUUUUAGCGAAGCUUGACCGCCUCGCUAUCGGAACGAUCUUACGAAGCAAGCUGGUCUUUCUAGUCAAUGUCCGGCUGCACGUAGCAUUCAUCGAGGGUGCGCGCCUUAGAGACUUCGGUUUCUUGGCAAUCGUGCAGACAACAUUCUGCCGAGUGUGUGGACGUUGAUAAUGAGAGCAAUCAAGUGCCUUAAGGGUGUUCGGUGGAUGCCUUGGCGCUGAGAGGCGAUGAAGGACGUGCUACGCUGCGAUAAGCCGUGGGGAGCUGCGAAGAAGCUUUGAUCCGCGGAUUUCC